This 519-nucleotide ribosomal RNA is filed under the name uncultured bacterium. RNAcentral's name for it is "partial 16S ribosomal RNA". It matches the Rfam family "Bacterial small subunit ribosomal RNA", at positions 28 to 507 of the family's 1533-position model. The record is from RNAcentral.
GACGAACGCUGGCGGCGUGCCUAAUACAUGCAAGUCGAGCGAGUCUGCCUUGAAGAUUGGAGUGCUUGCACUCUGUGAAACAAGAUACAGGCUAGCGGCGGACGGGUGAGUAACACGUGGGUAACCUGCCCAAGAGAUCGGGAUAACACCUGGAAACAGAUGCUAAUACCGGGUAACAACAGUUGAUGCCUAUCAACUGUUUAUAAGACGGUUCUGCUUUCACUCUUGGAUGGACCUGCGGUGCAUUAGCUAGUUGGUCGGGUAACGGCCUACCAAGGCGAUGAUGCGUAGCCGAGUUGAGAGACUGAUCGGCCACAUUGGAACUGAGACACGGCCCAAACUCCUACGGGAGGCAGCAGUAGGGAAUGUUCCACAAUGGGCGCAAGUCUGAUGCAGCCACGCCGCGUGAGUGAAGAAGGGUUUCGGCUCGUAAAGCUCUGUUGUUGGUGAAGAAGGACAGGAGUAGUAACUGACGUUUGUUUGACGGUACUCAAAUAAGAAGCACCGGCUAACUAAGUG